This 541-nucleotide ribosomal RNA is filed under the name Vibrio sp. 2-2(9). Its description in RNAcentral is "partial 23S ribosomal RNA". It matches the Rfam family "Bacterial large subunit ribosomal RNA", at positions 1357 to 1883 of the family's 2925-position model. Lineage: Bacteria; Pseudomonadati; Pseudomonadota; Gammaproteobacteria; Vibrionales; Vibrionaceae. The record is from RNAcentral.
GUCCAACGUUAAUCGGGGCAGGGUAAGUCGACCCCUAAGGCGAGGCCGAAAGGCGUAGUCGAUGGGAAACGGGUUAAUAUUCCCGUACUUCUUACAAUUGCGAUGGGGGGACGGAGAAGGCUAGGUGGGCCUGGCGACGGUUGUCCAGGUUCAAGUGCGUAGGCUGAGAAAUUAGGUAAAUCCGGUUUCUCUUAAGGCUGAGACACGACGUCGAGCAUCUACGGAUGUGAAGUCAUUGAUGCCAUGCUUCCAGGAAAAGCCUCUAAGCUUCAGAUUGUAAGGAAUCGUACCCCAAACCGACACAGGUGGUCGGGUAGAGAAUACCAAGGCGCUUGAGAGAACUCGGGUGAAGGAACUAGGCAAAAUGGUACCGUAACUUCGGGAGAAGGUACGCUCUCGACGGUGAAGUCCCUCGCGGAUGGAGCUAUUGAGAGUCGCAGAUACCAGGUGGCUGCAACUGUUUAUUAAAAACACAGCACUGUGCAAAAUCGCAAGAUGACGUAUACGGUGUGACGCCUGCCCGGUGCCGGAAGGUUAAUUG